GCCGCACCACCUUCCUGUUCAAGUGGGUCCAGCACAACAAGAAACGCAGGACAGGAGUAUCUCCUCUGCAGCCUAGGCAACGGCCCCAGGAACUGCAUCGAAGUCCAGCUCAACAAAGUCUUUCUCAAGGCAGCGUGUGGGUACCUGCUCCAGCACUAUGACUGGGACCAGAGCCUCUCCUCAUAGGCCCUCCAGUAUAAAUGGCUGCCUGUGUCCUGGCUCACUGG
Molecule: long non-coding RNA, 227 nt
Organism: Coregonus clupeaformis (lake whitefish)
Lineage: Eukaryota; Metazoa; Chordata; Actinopteri; Salmoniformes; Salmonidae
Exons: 3
Source: RefSeq, a predicted model, not a curated record